AUUGAACGCUGGCGGCAGGCCUAACGCAUGCAAGUCGAGCGGAUGAAGGGAGCUUGCUCCUGGAUUCAGCGGCGGACGGGUGAGUAAUGCCUAGGAAUCUGCCUGGUAGUGGGGGAUAACGUCCGGAAACGGGCGCUAAUACCGCAUACGUCCUGAGGGAGAAAGUGGGGGAUCUUCGGACCUCACGCUAUCAGAUGAGCCUAGGUCGGAUUAGCUAGUUGGUGGGGUAAAGGCCUACCAAGGCGACGAUCCGUAACUGGUCUGAGAGGAUGAUCAGUCACACUGGAACUGAGACACGGUCCAGACUCCUACGGGAGGCAGUAGUGGGGAAUAUUGGACAAUGGGCGAAAGCCUGCUCCAGCCAUGCCGCGUGUGUGAAGAAGGUCUUCGGAUUGUAAAGCACUUUAAGUUGGGAGGAAGGGCAGUAAGUUAAUACCUUGCUGUUUUGACGUUACCAACAGAAUAAGCACCGGCUAACUUCGUG
RNAcentral lists this ribosomal RNA (484 nucleotides) under uncultured bacterium. Its description in RNAcentral is "partial 16S ribosomal RNA". It matches the Rfam family "Bacterial small subunit ribosomal RNA", at positions 30 to 507 of the family's 1533-position model. The record is from RNAcentral.